CUCAGCUAGAAACGACCGUACCGCAAACCAACACUGGUGCGCGAGAUGAGUAUUCUCAGGCGCUUGAGAGAACUCGGGAGAAGGAACUCGGCAAAUUGACACCGUAACUUCGGAAGAAGGUGUGCCUUGGUAGCUUGAGUGAGAACAUCACAAGGGCAAAGAGGUUGCAAUAAAAUGGUGGCUGCGACUGUUUAUUAAAAACACAGCACUCUGCAAACACGAAAGUGGACGUAUAGGGUGUGACGCCUGCCCGGUGCCGGAAGGUUAAGUGAUGGGGUGCAAGCUCUUGAUCGAAGCCCCGGUAAACGGCGGCCGUAACGAUAACGGUCCUAAGGUAGCGAAAUUCCUUGUCGGGUAAGUUCCGACCUGCACGAAUGGCGUAACGAUGGCCACACUGUCUCCUCCCGAGACUCAGCGAAGUUGAAAUGUUUGUGAUGAUGCAAUCUCCCCGCAGCUAGACGGAAAGACCCCAUGAACCUUUACUGUAGCUUUGCAUUGGAUUGCGAACCGAUUUGUGAGGAUAGGUGGGAGGCUUUGAAGUCAGGACGCUAGUCUUGAUGGAGCCAACCUUGAAAUACCACCCUGAUUUGUUCGCGGUUCUAACCUUGGCCCGUUAUCCGGGUCGGGGACAGUGCAUGGUGGGCAGUUUGACUGGGGCGGUCUCCUCCUAAAGAGUAACGGAGGAGUUCGAAGGUACGCUUGGUACGGUCGGAAAUCGUGCCUAAAGUGCAAUGGCAAAAGCGUGCUUGACUGUGAGUCUGACAAGACGAACAGGUGCGAAAGCAGGACAUAGUGAUCCGGUGGUUCUGUAUGGAAGGGCCAUCGCUCAACGGAUAAAAGGUACUCUGGGGAUAACAGGCUGAUACCGCCCAAGAGUUCAUAUCGACGGCGGUGUUUGGCACCUCGAUGUCGGCUCAUCUCAUCCUGGGGCUGUAGCCGGUCCCAAGGGUAUGGCUGUUCGCCAUUUAAAGAGGUACGUGAGCUGGGUUUAAAACGUCGUGAGACAGUUUGGUCCCUAUCUGCUGUGGGCGUUGGAGAUUUGACGGGGGCUGCUCCUAGUACGAGAGGACCGGAGUGGACGCACCUCUGGUGUACCUGUUGUCACGCCAGUGGCAUCGCAGGGUAGCUAUGUGCGGAAGAGAUAAACGCUGAAAGCAUCUAAGCGUGAAACUCGCCUGAAGAUGAGAUCUCCCUGGGGACUCGAUCCCCCUCAAGGGUCGUUCAAGACCAGGACGUUGAUAGGCCGGGUGUGGAAGCGCAGUAAUGCGUGAAGCUAACCGGUACUAAUUGCCCGUGAGGCUUGACCCC
Molecule: ribosomal RNA, 1308 nt
Filed under: metagenome
Description: bacterial LSU rRNA
Rfam family: Bacterial large subunit ribosomal RNA
Source: RNAcentral